Molecule: long non-coding RNA, 3861 nt
Organism: Bombyx mori (domestic silkworm)
Lineage: Eukaryota; Metazoa; Arthropoda; Insecta; Lepidoptera; Bombycidae
Exons: 2
Source: RefSeq, a predicted model, not a curated record
ACUCAUGCUCAGUCAAUGUGGUAUUCGUCGAGUUGACGUCAAAACUCCCAAAAACUUCGACAGACUAGGCUGUAUAGGCUACGCUCUUUGCCUGCUUAUUGGUGAAUUUAAAAACAACAACAACAAUAUCGUUGCCGGCUUCCGGAUUUUCAUUUCAUUUUAUUAUUAUUAUUAUGAGGAUAUAAUAAUAAUAAAAUGUACGUAAGGGCUUAUUUCUAACAACAAUAACCACAAUUAACUUAUUUAAUACUGUAAAUAAUUAUGAGAGCGAUUAUUGAUUUCGAAGAAAACAAUUAACAACUUAAUUUUAGCUGCAGAAAAAAACAGAUUUCUCUUAAACCUGGGUCUAGAAUUUACUCCCGUUCACUGCAAUUCCUGAACGCUAUGACAUGACCUACUUCGAACGAACUUUAAAUGACUUAUAAGCGGUUGGCAUCGGCUUGGCUGUCGUUGGCAUUGUUGAUGUCUAAGACCAAGAAUAACCACUUCCAAUAAGGUAAUCUAAGCCUUCUAUCUAAGGAAACUGUGAAGUAAAUUAUUUUAACAGCUUGAAAAUAUUUCAUAUGUUACGCUGUUACAUUUUAGCAAUGCUCCAAUAUUGACUUUCAAACGAAGGUAGAGUUGUGGUCACUACGGUAUGUAAUAAUAUAAUAGCUCUCAGUGAAAAAUUAUUCUAUUCAUACUUAUGCUUUUUUUAAAACAAAAUGUAAUUCUAAAAAAGUGUGUCUUUUUAAUAGGUUUCUCUAAUUCUAUAAAUGAGAGAGAAAAGAACCUAGAUUUAAAUAGCGUCUGAUUGAGAAAGCGAAUACGUAUCGAUAGUCCCUCCGAAAAGUUCAUGUUUUCCACCAAAUUUCACUGGGACAUUAAUUAAUUUCAUCCAAACUUAGGUUACAUUUAAUUCAAUUCCCAUAAUCAUUUUUUAAGGAUUGAAGGCUUACUGGUGGCCCGGAGGCCUUUCCAGUUUCACCAGGACAGGUGGGCGAGCAAAGGCUCAGCCAGGAGGGGUGGGAUUGGCUAACAGCUGCCGAAGCGCCUCCGAAGGAGACCUAACAAUUGAAAAGAGCAGCUCUUCGCGAAUGAAUCUACUACCGGAUCGGAAUCGCGGCCCGCUGAGAAGUUCCGGCGAGAAACUCAGGCUGCACGUCGAACUCUUUGUCGAGUUUGACAAGUACGGUUACCGUAGUCCAUAAGCCGGCUCCCAGAGAUCCCAAGAUCAAUUUUAGAUUGACCAAUUUCAUUUCCUUCUAUCACAACACACUUGAUAUAGCAAAGUGUGUAAUACAAUACUACAAGAAUUAGCUUAGAAACUAGAACGCAGCCAUUUAUUACCCAGUUAUUUAACAAAAACAGAAUAUUCUAUAAUGUAGAUUGUGUGUGGUGGACCUCUAACUAGCUAAUUCCACUUCGCACUAAAUAUAUUAAGUACGUUCAUUAAAUAAGAUCGCAGUAGGUAUAACCACAAAAAUUUAUAUUAAGUUAAAUAAAUAAGUAUCGUUUUCCGUAUGUUAUUAUAACCAAAUAUGAUUGACUCAGCGGUGCGGUCGUUAGCGCUCCUGAUUCCUAGGCAGAGAUCCGUGGGUUCGAAUCCUUCAUCGAGCAAACAUUUAUGUGAUGAACAGCGCCCCUAGCAGAAAACGUAGGCACAUGUACCAACUCCAUACAAAUUUGACUUAACUUUUACGCUAUCGAGAACGUUAAGAAACUCGCACUAAGCACACACGUUUGUUUGCUCUUUGCCUGGGUGUUUAUUAUGCAUAUAUUAAAACCUAUUUAUGUUCACAUAGUACAAGGAAUACUAGUUCUGAAAACUGUUCUUGUAUUAUUAUUAUAUCUUUGCUACGGCACAGGGAAUGAUGACUUUACAGCCUGUUUAUAGUAAAAUCCGUCAAGUCCAUAAAGAAUUAGACAUGCAAUAACGAAAAAUCAUUAAAUAUUACAUUACAGCUUAACCUGAUGCAGUCGGGUAACAAAGUCAGAUUAUAAUGUCGAUAAGAUUAAUUAACGAUAAAUUUUCAUAUUUCUGAUAUCGUAUCCAAUUCAUUCGAUUAACGAUUGAAUAUUUCACAAUUUAAAGCACAAUUUUAAAGUAGACAAAGAUUUACAAAUAUGAGUGAAUGUAAGGCACUGUAAUGGAAAUUGUAUGCACGAUUUACCUUUGUUGAAUCCCAGAUGUACAGUGCAUGUGAUGUUAGUGAACUGUAUGUCCACGGGAUCCCUUGUGGGCAUCUUGGAGAACCCUUGCGUCGUCAGCUGCGGCUCGGGGUUGGCCCCUAUCGAAACCGAUGCAUUUUCUGGCCUGUACGACACACUGUCUUCAACGAUUUGCGCUCCGGCGAGCAUCAUUUUAACUAAUAUCGUUUGUAAGCGCGUACGCAGUGUUGGCGAAUGCGUCGCGCGGCUGUGUGCGCGCGCCUUUGAUCACGUCUCAGCACUGACUGGACUAGUACACUUAGCACAGCACUAUCGCACCCUUUGUCCGUGCUUGGUAAUUAAUUGCACACGCAUUCAUACUCGCGCCAAUUAAUUAAAUGCGCUCGAUUGUUUUGCUUUCGUACAGUACAGAGCAAUGGAUGCCGUGGCGGUGUGUGUGGGUUGCGUAUUCAAAACAAUGUCCUUUAUUUAUUUAAGUGUGUCCGUCCGGUGAGACAAAGGUGAUGAGUGAAUGAAGAAAUUGUAAACAAAGGAUUCUUGUGCGUGAAGCGGUGUACUAGAGUGUAACCAACCGACGUUGCUGAUGAUAACGCUAAAGAUAGAUAAUCUCGUUUUGUGUUAUCGGAAUUUUUGCUUCUGAAAAGCAACGUUUCUCGUUGGCAUUGAACCCUCGCGAUACGUCAUCAGCGCACAGCUGAUUUAUGAAUGCUGUUUAUGUUUUUAUUAUGUAUAUAUAUACGCUGUUUAAAAAAUGAGUAAUGUAUAUAUUAUUCUUUCCUCAUUACUGCAGUCGAUUGUUAUUGAAAACAAUGUUUGGAUUUUAAAAUGAUUCAAAGAUUAAUAUGUAUAAUAUCUAAGUAAGUAGUAUUGGUAUUAGUAUUAGUGAGUUUUAAAUUGCAAAAAGUUUUCCGUAGCUUUUCCGAAGCAGUCCCAACUCUAAGUUAACCUUUACGCGAUUGAGAUUUUUUUUUAAACUCGGACUAAGCACACAUGAGUAUAUAUCGCAUGAGCGAAAGUCUGGGCUCGGCAGUAAGAUGAAAGGUAGUCUACAUUAUUCCCUAAGGUACAAAGUCCAUACCUAAAUUCAUCAAAAUCAAUUCAGUAGUAUGGACGCGGAAAUUUAAACAGACAGGGUUGCUUUUUUUUAUUGCCCUUGUAGGCAGACGGCCCACCUGGUGGUGAGUAGUUACCGUCGCCCAUGGACUUCAGCAAUGCCAGGGGCAGAGCCAAGUCGCUGCCUACCGUUAAGUACUCUCCACGAGCCUCGUUUCAAGGAUAUGUCAUAGCGCUCGGGAAACACCGUGGAGGGGAGCUUAUUCCAAAGCCGGAUGGUACGUGGCAAAAAAGAUCUCUGGAAACGCACUGUGGAUGAACGCAGUGGCUCCAGGUAGUAUGGAUGAACUCUACUCCGGUGGCGGGCGGUGCGAUGAUAAAAACCAGAUGAUGGUAUCAUCUCAAACAAUUUUUCAGAGCACUCCCCUGAUUUCGUAUUAGUAAUGAUUUCGCUAUAUAACUUCUAAAAUCCAACAGUGUAAUAGAAAAAAAAAGACAUUAUUAAAUACAGCGGUUUGGUACCGUUUAAGUUUUUCAGGGUACAAGAUAUUCUGUAAGUACACAUUCUGUUGUUUAUUGCGUACUAUAUAGGUAUGUUUUUACAAUGUAAUAGCUACUAUGUCUUUAAGUGGUAUGAAAUAAAACUAUUUAAUAUUC